This 23-nucleotide non-coding RNA is filed under the name Cricetulus griseus (Chinese hamster). The record is from RNAcentral. Lineage: Eukaryota; Metazoa; Chordata; Mammalia; Rodentia; Cricetidae.
GCCUGACUCUGAAGCUUGUUUGG